Molecule: ribosomal RNA, 403 nt
Filed under: uncultured bacterium
Lineage: Bacteria
Description: partial 16S ribosomal RNA
Rfam family: Bacterial small subunit ribosomal RNA
Source: RNAcentral
GACGAACGCUGGCGGCGUGCCUAAUACAUGCAAGUCGAACGCAGUGGGGACGGGUGAGUAACACGUGGGUAACCUCCCAUCAGAGGGGAUAACACUUGGAAACAGGUGCUAAACCGAUACUGAUGGAUGGACCCGCGGUGCAUUAGCUAGUUGGUGAGGUAACGGCUCACCAAGGCCACGAUGCAUAGCCGGCCUGAGAGGGGGAUCGGCCACACUGGGACUGAGACACGGGCCAGAAUCCGACGGGAGGCAGCAGUAGGGAAUCUUGGGGAAUGGACGAAAGGCUGAACGAGCAAAGCCGCGUGGUGGAAGAAGGUUUUCGGAGCGUAAAACUCUUUUGGUAGAGAAGCGGUAACUAAACAGAAAGCCACGGCUAACUACGUGCCAGCCGCCGCGGUAAUAC